This 370-nucleotide long non-coding RNA is filed under the name Setaria italica (foxtail millet). RNAcentral describes it as "long non-coding RNA (SITA_LNC000453)". Lineage: Eukaryota; Viridiplantae; Streptophyta; Magnoliopsida; Poales; Poaceae. The record is from RNAcentral.
GACGAGAAGUUCGUCCGCAAGCACACGGGCCCCGGCAUCCUCUCCAUGGCCAACGCCGGCCCCAACACCAACGGCUCCCAGUUCUUCAUCUGCACCGUCGCCACCCCAUGGCUCGACGGCAAGCACGUCGUCUUCGGCCAGGUCGUCGAGGGCAUGAACGUCGUCAAGGCCAUCGAGAAGGUGGGCUCCCGCAGCGGAUCCACCGCCAAGGAAGUCAAGAUCGCCGACUGCGGCCAGCUCUCCUAGAUCUCUCAGAUCUGAUCUGCCUACCCGGCCGCCCUCCCUCCGUCGUCGUCGUCGUCGAGUCCGCCGUGUCCGUCCCUUCCAUUAGCUUCGAUCUGAAUAAGAUGAUGGUGAUCUGAGAGGUGGU